AAUUUCAUAAUGAAAUUUACAAAAUGAGUAUUCAGAAUCAUUCGUCAGUUGUGUAUUUAUAAAUUAUUGAUGGAUUUAAUAGGCAAAAUGUAACAAAAGCUGAUGAAGGUAUUUCCUGUUUCCUGUAUUUUCAGGUAUUGACAUAAGAGUGCAAGCAAGUAUAAAGGCUGUUGUCACUGUCUAGUGGGGUCACUCCCUCCUAAACCUAGAUCAAGAGCAAGACCCAGAUGAUGGCAGCCUUACAAGUUUUUGAGGAGCUUGAUGUCCUCGAGGAUGCUGCAGGGGAAAGGGUCAGACUGCCGAGAAGGAUUGUGAAGGAUCGCUUGGAUUUAUUCCUGACUUUGACUGAAGAGGAAUUUACAUCCAGGUUCAGGAUAUCAAAGCAAAGCGCAAGGGCCUUACUUGCUGACUUACAUUUACCAGAGGCAGCUGAUGCAAGAGAAUGUCCUGUACCACCUCACCUUUAACUCCUCAUCACCUUAAGAUGGAUGGCCACUGGUGACCUGCACCAAACUAUUGGAGAUUGCCUGGAUGUCUCUCAGCAGUUUGUAAGUUCAUGCUCUUCACAUACUGUGCGUGCCAUUGCUGCUUUAUAUCAGCGGUAUGUAAAGUUUCCUGGAAGGCAUGAGUUAGGGUCCAUCAAGACAAACUUUGAAGCAAUCUCUGGAUUCCCAGGUGUCAUUGGUGCAAUAGACUGCACACACAUCCCCAUUCUCAGUCCAGGUGGUCAGCAAGCAGAAACUUACCGAAGCAGAAAGGGCUUCUUUUCAUUAAAUGUACAAGCAGUGUGUGGUCCAGACUUAACAUUUUAUAAUAUUAUUUGUCGAUGGCCAGGAUCAGUCCACGACAGCAGAAUAUUUGCUAAUAGUUCUCUGUAUGCUCAGUUGCAAGCUGGCGAUUACAAUGGCCAUUUG
Molecule: long non-coding RNA, 914 nt
Organism: Eriocheir sinensis (Chinese mitten crab)
Lineage: Eukaryota; Metazoa; Arthropoda; Malacostraca; Decapoda; Varunidae
Exons: 3
Source: RefSeq, a predicted model, not a curated record